GACAGAGGGUGCAAGCGUUAAUCGGAAUUACUGGGCGUAAAGCGUUCGUAGGCGGCUUAUUAAGUCGGAUGUGAAAUCUCUGGGCUCAACCUGGAAAUGCCAUUCGAUACUGGUAGGCUAGAGUAAGGUAGAGGAGAGUGGAAUUUCCGGUGUAGCGGUGAAAUGCGUAGAUAUCGGAAGGAACACCAGUGGCGAAGGCG
This 200-nucleotide ribosomal RNA is filed under the name uncultured bacterium. RNAcentral's name for it is "partial 16S ribosomal RNA". It matches the Rfam family "Bacterial small subunit ribosomal RNA", at positions 524 to 723 of the family's 1533-position model. The record is from RNAcentral.